This 395-nucleotide ribosomal RNA is filed under the name uncultured bacterium. RNAcentral's name for it is "bacterial SSU rRNA". It matches the Rfam family "Bacterial small subunit ribosomal RNA", at positions 28 to 417 of the family's 1533-position model. The record is from RNAcentral.
GACGAACGCUGGCGGCGUGCCUAACACAUGCAAGUGGAGCGACGAACCAGGCUUCGGCCUGGGGCAAGGCCGCGAACGGGUGAGUAACACGUGGGUAACCUGCCCUGAUGAUUGGGACAACCCGAGGAAACUCGGGCUAAUACCGAAUGUGCCCUCCGGCCUCAAGGCCGCUGGGGAAAGGAGCUUCGGCCUCCGCAUCGGGAUGGGCCCGCGGCCCAUUAGCUUGUUGGUGAGGUAACGGCNCACCAAGGCGACGAUGGGUAGCUGGUCUGACGAGGACGAUCAGCCACACUGGGACUGAGACACGGCCCAGACUCCUACGGGAGGCAGCAGUGGGGAAUCUUGCGCAAUGCGCGAAAGCGUGACGCAGCAACGCCGCGUGGGGAAGAAGGCCU